This 253-nucleotide ribosomal RNA is filed under the name uncultured bacterium. RNAcentral describes it as "partial 16S ribosomal RNA". It matches the Rfam family "Bacterial small subunit ribosomal RNA", at positions 524 to 776 of the family's 1533-position model. The record is from RNAcentral.
UACGAAGGGUGCAAGCGUUACUCGGAAUUACUGGGCGUAAAGCGUGCGUAGGUGGUUGUUUAAGUCUGUCGUGAAAGCCCUGGGCUCAACCUGGGAAUUGCGAUGGAUACUGGGCAACUAGAGUGUGGUAGAGGACAGUGGAAUUUCCGGUGUAGCAGUGAAAUGCGUAGAGAUCGGAAGGAACAUCUGUGGCGAAGGCGACUGUCUGGGCCAACACUGACACUGAGGCGCGAAAGCGUGGGGAGCAAACAGG